RNAcentral lists this ribosomal RNA (494 nucleotides) under uncultured bacterium. RNAcentral's name for it is "partial 16S ribosomal RNA". It matches the Rfam family "Bacterial small subunit ribosomal RNA", at positions 28 to 507 of the family's 1533-position model. The record is from RNAcentral.
GACGAACGCUGGCGGCGCGCUUAACACAUGCCAGUCGAACGGAAAGGCCUGCUUUCCCUUGUGGAUUGCGGGUACUCGAGUGGCGAACGGGUGAGUAACACGUGAGUGAUCUGCCCCCAACUUGGGUAUAAGCCUGGGAAACUGGGUCUAAUUCCCGAUAGGACUGCAGGGUGGUGCCUGUGGUGGAAAACGAUUUUCUAGUGGUUGGGGAUGAGCUCGCGGCCUAUCAGCUUGUUGGUGGGGUAAUGGCCUACCAAGGCGGCGACGGGUAGCCGGCCUGAGAGGGUGGACGGCCACAUUGGGACUGAGAUACGGCCCAGACUCCUUCGGGAGGCAGCAGUGGGGAAUAUUGCACAAUGGGCGGAAGCCUGAUGCAGCGACGCCGCGUGGGGGAUGACGGCCUUCGGGUUGUAAACUCCUUUCGACCGCGAGGAAGCCACCUGGUUGGAAGGGUGGUGACGGUAGUGGUAGAAGAAGCACCGGCUAACUACGUG